AUUGAACGCUGGCGGCAUGCCUUACACAUGCAAGUCGAACGGCAGCACGGACUUCGGUCUGGUGGCGAGUGGCGAACGGGUGAGUAAUGUAUCGGAACGUACCUUUCAGUGGGGGAUAACGUAGCGAAAGUUACGCUAAUACCGCAUAUUCUGUGAGCAGGAAAGCCGGGGAUCGAUAGACCUUGCGCUGAUUGAGCGGCCGAUAUCAGAUUAGCUAGUUGGUGGGGUAAAGGCCUACCAAGGCGACGAUCUGUAGCGGGUCUGAGAGGAUGAUCCGCCACACUGGAACUGAGACACGGUCCAGACUCCUACGGGAGGCAGCAGUGGGGAAUUUUGGACAAUGGGGGCAACCCUGAUCCAGCCAUGCCGCGUGAGUGAAGAAGGCCUUCGGGUUGUAAAGCUCUUUCGGCCGGGAAGAAAUCGCAUAGGCUAAUACCCUGUGUGGAUGACGGUACCGGAAUAAGAAGCACCGGCUAACUACGUG
This 484-nucleotide ribosomal RNA is filed under the name uncultured bacterium. Its description in RNAcentral is "partial 16S ribosomal RNA". It matches the Rfam family "Bacterial small subunit ribosomal RNA", at positions 30 to 507 of the family's 1533-position model. The record is from RNAcentral.